RNAcentral lists this transfer RNA (87 nucleotides) under Chloroflexota bacterium. RNAcentral describes it as "Chloroflexi bacterium tRNA-Leu". It matches the Rfam family "tRNA". Rfam says of the family: Transfer RNA (tRNA) molecules are approximately 80 nucleotides in length. Their secondary structure includes four short double-helical elements and three loops (D, anti-codon, and T loops). Further hydrogen bonds mediate the characteristic L-shaped molecular structure. tRNAs have two regions of fundamental functional importance: the anti-codon, which is responsible for specific mRNA codon recognition, and the 3' end, to which the tRNAs corresponding amino acid is attached (by aminoacyl-tRNA synthetases). tRNAs cope with the degeneracy of the genetic code in two manners: having more than one tRNA (with a specific anti-codon) for a particular amino acid; and 'wobble' base-pairing, i.e. permitting non-standard base-pairing at the 3rd anti-codon position. RNAcentral also lists the same sequence under 1 other name. The record is from RNAcentral. Lineage: Bacteria; Bacillati; Chloroflexota.
GGGCGAGUGGCGAAACGGUAGACGCGUCGGCCUUAGGAGCCGGUGCCGCUCUGCGGCGUGUCGGUUCGAAUCCGACCUCGCCCACCA